Molecule: ribosomal RNA, 254 nt
Filed under: uncultured bacterium
Lineage: Bacteria
Description: partial 16S ribosomal RNA
Rfam family: Bacterial small subunit ribosomal RNA
Source: RNAcentral
UACGUAGGGUGCGAGCGUUGUCCGGAAUUAUUGGGCGUAAAGAGCUUGUAGGCGGUCUGUCGCGUCUGCUGUGAAAAUCCGGGGCUCAACCCCGGACUUGCAGUGGGUACGGGCAGACUAGAGUGUGGUAGGGGAGACUGGAAUUCCUGGUGUAGCGGUGAAAUGCGCAGAUAUCAGGAGGAACACCGGUGGCGAAGGCGGGUCUCUGGGCCGAUACUGACGCUGAGUGAGCGAAAGCCAGGGGAGCAAACGGG